Molecule: ribosomal RNA, 404 nt
Filed under: Actinomycetes bacterium
Lineage: Bacteria; Bacillati; Actinomycetota; Actinomycetes
Description: Actinobacteria bacterium partial 16S ribosomal RNA
Rfam family: Bacterial small subunit ribosomal RNA
Source: RNAcentral
UGGGGAAUAUUGGACAAUGGGCGCAAGCCUGAUCCAGCCAUGCCGCGUGAGUGAUGAAGGCCCUAGGGUUGUAAAGCUCUUUCACCGGUGAAGAUAAUGACGGUAACCGGAGAAGAAGCCCCGGCUAACUUCGUGCCAGCAGCCGCGGUAAUACGAAGGGGGCUAGCGUUGUUCGGAUUUACUGGGCGUAAAGCGCACGUAGGCGGACUUUUAAGUCAGGGGUGAAAUCCCGGGGCUCAACCCCGGAACUGCCUUUGAUACUGGAAGUCUUGAGUAUGGUAGAGGUGAGUGGAAUUCCGAGUGUAGAGGUGAAAUUCGUAGAUAUUCGGAGGAACACCAGUGGCGAAGGCGGCUCACUGGACGAUUACUGACGCUGAGGUGCGAAAGCGUGGGGAGCAAACAGG